Molecule: ribosomal RNA, 424 nt
Filed under: uncultured bacterium
Lineage: Bacteria
Description: partial 16S ribosomal RNA
Rfam family: Bacterial small subunit ribosomal RNA
Source: RNAcentral
AAUUUUGGACAAUGGGGGCAACCCUGAUCCAGCCAUCCCGCGUGUGCGAUGAAGGCCUUCGGGUUGUAAAGCACUUUUGGCAGGGAAGAAAAGGCUCUGGUUAAUACCUGGAGCUGCUGACGGUACCUGCAGAAUACGCACCGGCUAACUACGUGCCAGCAGCCGCGGUUAUACGUAGGGUGCAAGCGUUAAUCGGAAUUACUGGGCGUAAAGCGGGCGCAGGCGGUUCAGCAAGAACGAUGUGAAAUCCCAGGGCUUAAACUUGAAACUGCAUUCUUAACUGCCGGGCUAGAGUAUGUCAGAGGGGGGUAGAAUUCCGCGUGUAGCAGUGAAAUGCGUAGAGAUGCGGAGGAAUACCGAUGGCGAAGGCAGCCCCCUGGGAUAAUACUGACGCUCAUGCACGAAAGCGUGGGGAGCAAACAGG